AGUGAACGCUGGCGGCAUGCCUAACACAUGCAAGUCGAACGGCAGCACAGUAAGAUUUUGCUCUUACGGGUGGCGGGUGGCGGACGGGUGACGAAUACAUCGUACUCUUCCUUUUCGUGGGGGAUCACGUAGCGAAACUUACGCUACUACCGCAUACUCCCUACCGGUGUAAGCGUUGGAUCUUCUUGCCUUUCGCGAUUGUAUUAGCCGGUGUCGGACUAGCUAGUUGGCGGGGUAAAGGCCCACCAAGGCGACGAUCCGUAGCUUGUCUGAGAGGAUGAUCGGCCACACUGGAACUGAGACACGGUCCAGACUCCUAAGGGAGGCAGCAGUGGGGAAUAUUAGGCAAUGGGCGAAAGCCUGAUCCAGCCAUACCGCGUGAGUGAAGAAGGCCUUCGGGUUGUAAAGACCUUUUGUUGGGAAAGAAAAGCAGCAGGUUAAUACGCCGCUGUUCUGACGGUACCCAAAGAAUAAGCACCGGCUAACUUCGUG
This 492-nucleotide ribosomal RNA is filed under the name uncultured bacterium. Its description in RNAcentral is "partial 16S ribosomal RNA". It matches the Rfam family "Bacterial small subunit ribosomal RNA", at positions 29 to 507 of the family's 1533-position model. The record is from RNAcentral.